UACGGGGGGAGCAAGCGUUGUUCGGAUUUACUGGGCGUAAAGGGCGCGUAGGCGGUCAGCACAAGUCAGUUGUGAAAUCUCCGGGCUUAACUCGGAAAGGUCAACUGAUACUGUGCGACUAGAGUGCAGAAGGGGCAACUGGAAUUCUCGGUGUAGCGGCGAAAUGCGUAGAUAUCGAGAGGAACACCUGCGGCGAAGGCGGGUUGCUGGGCUGACACUGACGCUGAUGCGCGAAAGCCAGGGGAGCGAACGGG
Molecule: ribosomal RNA, 254 nt
Filed under: uncultured bacterium
Lineage: Bacteria
Description: partial 16S ribosomal RNA
Rfam family: Bacterial small subunit ribosomal RNA
Source: RNAcentral